Molecule: non-coding RNA, 148 nt
Organism: Homo sapiens (human)
Lineage: Eukaryota; Metazoa; Chordata; Mammalia; Primates; Hominidae
Rfam family: Metazoan signal recognition particle RNA
About the family: The signal recognition particle (SRP) is a universally conserved ribonucleoprotein.
Source: Rfam
GCCAGGCACAGUGGUGUGUGCCUGUAGUCCCAGCUACUUGGGAGGCAGAGGUGGGAGGAUUGCUUAAGCCCUGGAGUUUGAGGCUGCAGUGAGCUUUGAUCACACCACUGCACUCCAGCCUGGGCAACAGAGCGAGACCCUGUCUCAA